GACGAACGCUGGCGGCGUGCCUAAUACAUGCAAGUCGAGCGGACUGAUUAAGAGCUUGCUCUUAUGACGUUAGCGGCGGACGGGUGAGUAACACGUGGGCAACCUGCCCUGUAGAUCGGGAUAACACCGAGAAAUCGGUGCUAAUACCGGGUAAUAUCUGAGAUCACAUGAUCUUAGGUUAAAAGAUGGCUCCGGCUAUCACUACAGGAUGGGCCCGCGGCGCAUUAGCUAGUUGGUAAGGUAAUGGCUUACCAAGGCGACGAUGCGUAGCCGACCUGAGAGGGUGAUCGGCCACACUGGGACUGAGAGACGGCCCAGACUCCUACGGGAGGCAGCAGUAGGGAAUCUUCCGCAAUGGACGAAAGGCUGACGGAGCAACGCCGCGUGAGUGAUGAAGGGGUUCGGCUCGUAAAGCUCUGUUGUUAGGGAAGAAACAGUACCGAACGAACUAGGUCGGUACCUUGACGGUACCUAACCAGAAAGCCACGGCUAACUACGUG
RNAcentral lists this ribosomal RNA (500 nucleotides) under uncultured bacterium. RNAcentral describes it as "partial 16S ribosomal RNA". It matches the Rfam family "Bacterial small subunit ribosomal RNA", at positions 28 to 507 of the family's 1533-position model. The record is from RNAcentral.